This 301-nucleotide ribosomal RNA is filed under the name uncultured bacterium. Its description in RNAcentral is "partial 16S ribosomal RNA". It matches the Rfam family "Bacterial small subunit ribosomal RNA", at positions 509 to 807 of the family's 1533-position model. The record is from RNAcentral.
CAGCCGCCGCGGUAAUACGUAGGUGGCAAGCGUUGUCCGGAAUUAUUGGGCGUAAAGGGCUCGCAGGCGGUUUCUUAAGUCUGAUGUGAAAGCCCCCGGCUCAACCGGGGAGGGUCAUUGGAAACUGGGAAACUUGAGUGCAGAAGAGGAGAGUGGAAUUCCACGUGUAGCGGUGAAAUGCGUAGAGAUGUGGAGGAACACCAGUGGCGAAGGCUACUCUCUGGUCUGUAACUGACGCUGAGGAGCGAAAGCGUGGGGAGCGAACAGGAUUAGAUACCCGGGUAGUCCCUGUCUCUUAUAC